Gossypium arboreum is the source of this 1590-nucleotide RNA transcript. RefSeq lists it as uncharacterized. The record is from RefSeq and is a predicted model, not a curated record. NCBI's taxonomy places the organism in Eukaryota, Viridiplantae, Streptophyta, Magnoliopsida, Malvales, Malvaceae. The transcript has 7 exons.
UCAGGCUUUUCUAAUAUUUGGUUGGUUGAAAAUCAUUUUCCAGGGUAAAUAUGAAACACGGGAAAAGGAGGGCUUUGUUUAAGGAAAAUGUCUUACCCUUUUGAAAUCGGUAAGACAUUUUCCGAAAUUUUCCGAAAAUUGACGCUUCUUCUUCCCUUUCCCCUUCCUCUUCCCCUUCCUCUUGGGUUACAAAUCAGUUUGGUCGAGGGAGAACCGAAGCCAUUACAUGAACCUCUCCCUGUUUUAAAUCCUCAUCUCGAAGUUUCUGCCAUGAAAGCUGCUUCCUUCAACACUCUCCAUUUUCCGUCCAUCAUCACAAAAAGAACAUCAGCACAGCCAUGUCCAACUUGAUUCGCAAGAACCCUUUUUCUUAAACUCCCUCAGAGCUUCCAAAACAAUCCCUUUUUUAGACCGUCGUCUAAUUCCUUUGCUUCUUCUUUUUUCUUCGUUUCUUCUUCUUCCAACGCAUUCAUCGAGUCAACUGCCAACGGCACGUAUUUGGGUUGGAACAAAGCUUCGGAGAUUGAGAUCGAUGGUGGUGGACAAGCUAAGGCUCUGGGGUUCGGAGAAUUUACUGAUGUGGUAAAUCGACUGUGAAUUGCUUCAUCUUUCUGAUAGACCUGAGAAGUUCAUUAUUACGAAUAUUGCUGUGCCACCUACAGCUAUCCGACCUUCAGUCCCUGUGGAUAGCAAUGAAAAUGACAUUACUGAGAGGUUGAAAAGAAUUAUUCAGGCAAAUAGUAGCCUUCGUCAAGAAUUAGUAGAUGCUAGCAUUCAGUGAUUGAGCAUUUUUAGAGAAGAGAGGGGUUGAAAGAGAUGAUAAAAGGAGUAAUUUUUUAUUCAGGAUCAGCUGACCCUUUAAAUCCUAAGAGUUCUUUAGCUUAUGCUGCUCAUGGAACUAGGUCUGGAGACAUUCAUACGACAUAAACCACUAGCAACUUCAGGUUAUCACUCUUUGUAUCAAUGGUACCGUUCAGUCGAAAGUGAGCAUUUUCCAGAUCCUAGUGGUCUUCGUGCUCGUAUGGAGCAAUGGAUAUUUGGCCUCUAUCCAGCAUGUAUCAAGUAUUUCAUGUCCGCAUUUGAUGUUCCAGAGAAUUGCUAAUUACAAGUCAUUCACACGAUUCCACAUCAAUCGUGAUGGUAAUCUUGAAGUUUUCACUCUUGCAGUCGAUAAGGUUCCAAGGGAAUGGAUGUUGGAUCCUGAUUGGGAUAUGGAGCAGAAGCAGCCACAACAGUUGAGCCAUAGAGAAAUACCCUAGCAAAUGAAGUGCAACAGCAGAGUAGCAGGAUCCAGUGAAUAUAGUCAGGGUGGUUGACCAUUUUGUUAUAAGACAAAAUGAGAAACCUGAUUUUGUAUCAAGUAAUGGGUCAGUUAGUCGCUGAUCUUUGUUGUAACAUCAUUCUAAUUUCUUAAAUAUAGGCAGCAAUGAAGGGAAUGUAUAUACGUCAAAUUUCAUAAUUGUUUAGAUGGACUAACAUCAUUCAAAUGUUAAAUGUUAAUGCAGCUAAUAGUGGUUUUUCACAGCCAUAUCAUGCUUUGUAGUUGAGGGAUUUUUAAAUGGAAGUUUAUAGUUGAACUUUUGAUUAGAA